GGCGGGUGCCUUCUGUACAGGUAAAACACUGUUUCUUGUUUGCUGCCUUAUUGGAGCACAGGUUUCAUCUUCAGAGCAAGUGCAUGAACUACCAUCAGCUGCACUAGACNNNNNNAAUAAAAAAUGACCUUGCAUUGCUAGAGAGGUUACUAAGCUGCUUUGCACGUAACAUGAUCUGAACGGGUACCUGAACUGAUGGAUAUGCUUCUGGGCGAGCC
RNAcentral lists this unclassified non-coding RNA (218 nucleotides) under Hevea brasiliensis (rubber tree). The record is from RNAcentral. Lineage: Eukaryota; Viridiplantae; Streptophyta; Magnoliopsida; Malpighiales; Euphorbiaceae.